RNAcentral lists this transfer RNA (549 nucleotides) under uncultured marine bacterium. Its description in RNAcentral is "partial contains 16S ribosomal RNA, 16S-23S ribosomal RNA intergenic spacer, and 23S ribosomal RNA". The stretch from base 211 to 283 matches the Rfam family "tRNA". The record is from RNAcentral.
ACAGGGAGACAACAAAAUGUAAAUAUUAAUUUUGUCACCUUAGGUCGAUCGGUAUCUCAGAUUCUUAUUUUUUAAGAAUUUCAGUUUCUAAGUUUUUUCUAGGUCACACCCACCACUUUUUCCUGGGCCAUUAGCUCAGGUGGUUAGAGCGCACCCCUGAUAAGGGUGAGGUCCCUGGUUCAAGUCCAGGAUGGCCCAUAUCUCUAUGUUGGGGGUAUAGCUCAGUUGGUAGAGCGCCUGCUUUGCAAGCAGGAUGUCAGCGGUUCGAGUCCGCUUACCUCCACUGAAUACCACCUCUUACAUAUGUUCAAAGAGGGAAAUUGUUUUGAGUCGUGUCCUAAUUACUCUGAGCGAAUCUAGCUUCCUAUUUUAUUCAAUAAAUAAGAUGCUGGACUCAUUGAAUCUUUUUCAUUGUUUUCAGAGAACCUUGACAACUGCAUAGAUUAUUUUUGAAGACAAUAAGCAUCUUUAAUGAUGCAGAUUUAUUAUUUGUGCGAAUGCAUUAAAUAACAAUUCUAUUAAGCUGAUGCUUCAAUUAUUGAAGUUAUU